CCUACGGGAGGCUGCAGUGGGGAAUAUUGCACAAUGGGCGCAAGCCUGAUGCAGCCAUGCCGCGUGUGUGAAGAAGGCCUUCGGGUUGUAAAGCACUUUCAGCGGGGAGGAAGGCGGUGAGGUUAAUAACCUCAUCGAUUGACGUUACCCGCAGAAGAAGCACCGGCUAACUCCGUGCCAGCAGCCGCGGUAAUACGGAGGGUGCAAGCGUUAAUCGGAAUUACUGGGCGUAAAGCGCACGCAGGCGGUCUGUCAAGUCGGAUGUGAAAUCCCCGGGCUCAACCUGGGAACUGCAUUCGAAACUGGCAGGCUAGAGUCUUGUAGAGGGGGGUAGAAUUCCAGGUGUAGCGGUGAAAUGCGUAGAGAUCUGGAGGAAUACCGGUGGCGAAGGCGACCCCCUGGACAAAGACUGACGCUCAGGUGCGAAAGCGUGGGGAGCAAACAGGAUUAGAUACCCGGGUAGUC
RNAcentral lists this ribosomal RNA (465 nucleotides) under uncultured Klebsiella sp. RNAcentral describes it as "bacterial SSU rRNA". It matches the Rfam family "Bacterial small subunit ribosomal RNA", at positions 338 to 795 of the family's 1533-position model. The record is from RNAcentral. Lineage: Bacteria; Pseudomonadati; Pseudomonadota; Gammaproteobacteria; Enterobacterales; Enterobacteriaceae.